CAAAAAUCUUAUUUAUAGGUUUUGGCCUAAAGUCCUCCCGACUGGCUGAAAAUAUAUUUGGAAUGCAGAGUGAAUGUAUGCCAGCUGAAGCUCAAGAAAAUGUGGACCAACACACAAAGACAGAAGCAAGGACAUAGGGUUCUCAAAGCCCGAUCUAACACCAUUUGUGAUGAGUACAUUGUUGACCAGAAGAGUCAAGAGUUGACUGACCUGGUUUUUCUCUAAUUCGAUCAUUUCCAGA
This is a long non-coding RNA of Poeciliopsis prolifica (blackstripe livebearer), 241 nucleotides long. RefSeq lists it as uncharacterized. The record is from RefSeq and is a predicted model, not a curated record. NCBI's taxonomy places the organism in Eukaryota, Metazoa, Chordata, Actinopteri, Cyprinodontiformes, Poeciliidae. The transcript has 3 exons.